CCUACGGGUGGCAGCAGUGGGGAAUAUUGCGCAAUGGGCGAAAGCCUGACGCAGCGACGCCGCGUGAGGGAUGAAGGUCUUCGGAUCGUAAACCUCUGUCAGCAGGGAAGAACGGUCACUGUGCUAAUCAGCAGUGAAUUGACGGUACCUGCAAAGGAAGCACCGGCUAACUCCGUGCCAGCAGCCGCGGUAAUACGGAGGGUGCGAGCGUUAAUCGGAAUUACUGGGCGUAAAGCGCUCGUAGGCGGGAUGUCAAGUCAAGGGUGAAAUCCCCGCGCACAACGUGGGAAGUGCCUUUGAAACUGGCAAACUGGAGUGUGUGAGAGGAUAGUGGAAUUCGAGGUGUAGGAGUGAAAUGCGUAGAUAUCUGGAGGAACAUCAGUGGCGAAGGCGACUAUCUGGCACAUAACUGACGCUGAGGAGCGAAAGCGUGGGUAGCAAACAGGAUUAGAUACCCGGGUAGUC
RNAcentral lists this ribosomal RNA (465 nucleotides) under uncultured bacterium. Its description in RNAcentral is "partial 16S ribosomal RNA". It matches the Rfam family "Bacterial small subunit ribosomal RNA", at positions 338 to 795 of the family's 1533-position model. The record is from RNAcentral.